This 262-nucleotide long non-coding RNA is filed under the name Manihot esculenta (cassava). Its description in RNAcentral is "long non-coding RNA (MESC_LNC003058)". Lineage: Eukaryota; Viridiplantae; Streptophyta; Magnoliopsida; Malpighiales; Euphorbiaceae. The record is from RNAcentral.
CUUGAUGUUUUACUAUGAGCUUUUUAGAAAAUAAGCUCAAUGACCAGAAUUCUUUAUGGAUAGGUGUUGCUUGUUCCACCGUUUUCUCGAUAUAAUCCGAUUUUAGAACAAAGUUGGAGUUUAAUUUGCAGAUAAGAUUAGCAGAAAUAGAUGGUAAUUCCAAUUGUUCGAAUUAUUAUCUAUAUCAGACACCAAUAAUAUUUCUUUAUUUUUUGAUCUAUUCUUUUCACUGGUACUUCCUCUUGAACUACUACUUUUAGAG